UGGUAGCGCAAGUGGUUAAUAUAUAAUAAACUGUAAUAUAUACGAGUAUCGGCAAAUAGCCGCCCAAGUCUUUUUACUGCUGCGGACGCGUGUCGGCAUAUAGUCGUUCGAAUCUGUUCCGGACAGUUAUCUUGAAGUGGCAGGCGUACGUCUAUUUUUCUAAGCGAUAAUCUUAUGCAUAUUUACGCAUGGAUAUAGUUAACUAAACAGUAGUAUUAUGUUUUUGAUAAAAGAAAAUUAUAGAUCUUUAGAAAUCCUCGCGAUGCAGGAUGAUAGUCGAGACAGAACGAAUUUCAAUCUUUCAAUGACAUUGCCAGAUGAAUCAGAAAGCUUUUUAUAUAUUUUUUAUAAUACCUUAUGCACGAUGCCUAAAAGUUCCAGAAAGAAUAUGUUCGUUAGUGAUAGUAGUGAUGACGAACAUUAUUUUGAACCUGACAAGAAGAAGACGACGACAGUGCUUUAGACAGUAGAAACGAACUCUGUUCAACAAUGAAUCGGCUCAGACGUUUCAAUAUUUCUAGUAAUAGUGACAGUGAUGAUCAACUAAAUAUUGAUGAAAAUGAUACAAGUCUCGACAAUGAAUAACGUAAACGUUCAACGUAUAUAUUUUCUCAACUGCGCGCACCAAUACCUCUCGUCCACAGCGAUGAUCGCUCGUCGAGCGACCCCGUCCGCAAAGAAUUAACAUUAAAGAAAUAAAAUGAUCUUAGGCCUAAUUUUUCUACAAUAUAGGUAUUAUUAAGAAGAUUUAUUUAAAUUGUUCUUAUUCUUAGCACAAUUGUGAAGGAUUCUUAAUGAAAAUAAAAAGAGUAUUUAUA
This is a long non-coding RNA of Bombus huntii, 818 nucleotides long. RefSeq lists it as uncharacterized. The record is from RefSeq and is a predicted model, not a curated record. The transcript has 2 exons. NCBI's taxonomy places the organism in Eukaryota, Metazoa, Arthropoda, Insecta, Hymenoptera, Apidae.